This 444-nucleotide ribosomal RNA is filed under the name uncultured Sulfurospirillum sp. RNAcentral's name for it is "bacterial SSU rRNA". It matches the Rfam family "Bacterial small subunit ribosomal RNA", at positions 337 to 798 of the family's 1533-position model. Lineage: Bacteria; Pseudomonadati; Campylobacterota; Epsilonproteobacteria; Campylobacterales; Sulfurospirillaceae. The record is from RNAcentral.
UCCUACGGGUGGCUGCAGUGGGGAAUAUUGCACAAUGGAGGAAACUCUGAUGCAGCAACGCCGCGUGGAGGAUGACGCAUUUCGGUGUGUAAACUCCUUUUAUAAGGGAAGAUAAUGACGGUACCUUAUGAAUAAGCACCGGCUAACUCCGUGCCAGCAGCCGCGGUAAUACGGAGGGUGCAAGCGUUACUCGGAAUCACUGGGCGUAAAGGAUGCGUAGGCUGGAAAUCAAGUCGAGAGUGAAAUCCAACGGCUCAACCGUUGAACUGCUCUCGAAACUGGUUACCUAGAAUAUGGGAGAGGUAGAUGGAAUUGGUGGUGUAGGGGUAAAAUCCGUAGAUAUCACCAGGAAUACCGAUUGCGAAGGCGAUCUACUGGAACAUUAUUGACGCUGAGGCAUGAAAGCGUGGGGAGCAAACAGGAUUAGAUACCCUAGUAGUCAUU